This 230-nucleotide ribosomal RNA is filed under the name Nymphalis caschmirensis. Its description in RNAcentral is "Aglais caschmirensis partial 28S ribosomal RNA". It matches the Rfam family "Eukaryotic large subunit ribosomal RNA", at positions 38 to 248 of the family's 3401-position model. The record is from RNAcentral. Lineage: Eukaryota; Metazoa; Arthropoda; Insecta; Lepidoptera; Nymphalidae.
GCAUAUUAGUAAGCGGAGGAAAAGAAACUAACUAGGAUUUCCUUAGUAGCGGCGAGCGAACAGGAAAUAGCCCAGCACUGAAUCCCGCGGUUGUAACGAUCGCGGGAGAUGUGGUGUUCGGGAGGUAUCGCUUUCUCGUCGUCGCCACUCCUUGUCCAAGUUCGUCUUGAACGGGCCGUUUUCCUGUAGAGGGUGCCAGGCCCGUAGCGCGGAGCGUAGACGGCGAGAGG